Alligator sinensis (Chinese alligator) is the source of this 798-nucleotide long non-coding RNA. RefSeq lists it as uncharacterized. Lineage: Eukaryota; Metazoa; Chordata; Crocodylia; Alligatoridae. The transcript is spliced from 3 exons. The record is from RefSeq and is a predicted model, not a curated record.
CCCAGAUGCAAUAUAGCAGAAAUCAGGUCUAACUGUUCCGUAGUCUCAGAUUAGAGGCAGGAAGAAGCUGGGAGGUUUUCAACUAGACUGGCAAAUGAAUAUGGACUUUUUGGUGGUUGUGUUUAUUGAUGCCUGUAGAAAAGUUGCCAGCGUCUUGUAUGUAUUAUGAUCAUGAAAGUGUGACUUGGGGAGCUGAGACAGAAAGGAAUUCAAAUACUAAAGGUGGAGUUGAUAAAGGUCUAAAAGAUUUCAAGUAGAGAUAACGUUUAUAUAAGUGCUGCCGAGCUGGUGUAAUGCAAGGAAGGAAGCAUCAUGAAAUGGAAACACUAUCCUUUUUUUAUUGUGGUAGCUGUACUCAGUCUCUCCAGGUCCCAUCAUUUAUUGGGUCAGCUCAUACCAGAUCUCAGACCUGAACCAAGAGAUUACUUGAGUUGGCCAGACAUGAGUGUGUUCAGCCUAGCUGGCAGGGGGCCAGAAGUGCGAUUAUCUCAGAAGAUCAAAUAAAGCAAGAUUCUUUUUUUUCUCCCUGAGCAGUACAUCCCCUUCAUUUUGCUUUGUCUCAGGUCAUUUACUUUUAAAGGUAUUUCUUUUUUUAUUCAGAGAAAGUGAUCCUUGGAAAUGACUAACGAACCCUCCCCUUAAUUAAAUGGAAAAAAACAAAUACUUCAUUCAAACUGUCUCUGAUUUUAUAUUUAAACAGUAUUAUAAGAGCAGUAAACAGCAGCCCCCUUUUUUGAGAAUUGUUAAAAAUAACAUAGCAAAAGAUAGCAAUUAAAAUAAACAUUAGUACUAAGCUUA